UGGCUCAGAGUGAACGCUGGCGGUAGGCCUAACACAUGCAAGUCGAACGGCAGCACAGUAAGAGCUUGCUCUUACGGGUGGCGAGUGGCGGACGGGUGAGGAAUACAUCGGAAUCUACUUUUUCGUGGGGGAUAACGUAGGGAAACUUACGCUAAUACCGCAUACGACCUACGGGUGAAAGCAGGGGACCUUCGGGCCUUGCGCGAUUGAAUGAGCCGAUGUCGGAUUAGCUAGUUGGCGGGGUAAAGGCCCACCAAGGCGACGAUCCGUAGCUGGUCUGAGAGGAUGAUCAGCCACACUGGAACUGAGACACGGUCCAGACUCCUACGGGAGGCAGCAGUGGGGAAUAUUGGACAAUGGGCGCAAGCCUGAUCCAGCCAUACCGCGUGGGUGAAGAAGGCCUUCGGGUUGUAAAGCCCUUUUGUUGGGAAAGAAAUCCAGCCGGCUAAUACCUGGUUGGGAUGACGGUACCCAAAGAAUAAGCACCGGCUAACUUCGUGCCAGCAGCCGCGGUAAUACGAAGGGUGCAAGCGUUACUCGGAAUUACUGGGCGUAAAGCGUGCGUAGGUGGUUGUUUAAGUCUGUUGUGAAAGCCCUGGGCUCAACCUGGGAACUGCAGUGGAAACUGGACGACUAGAGUGUGGUAGAGGGUAGCGGAAUUCCUGGUGUAGCAGUGAAAUGCGUAGAGAUCAGGAGGAACAUCCAUGGCGAAGGCAGCUACCUGGACCAA
Molecule: ribosomal RNA, 730 nt
Filed under: Stenotrophomonas sp. 110518_136_C_G12
Lineage: Bacteria; Pseudomonadati; Pseudomonadota; Gammaproteobacteria; Lysobacterales; Lysobacteraceae
Description: bacterial SSU rRNA
Rfam family: Bacterial small subunit ribosomal RNA
Source: RNAcentral